Molecule: ribosomal RNA, 485 nt
Filed under: Lacticaseibacillus casei
Lineage: Bacteria; Bacillati; Bacillota; Bacilli; Lactobacillales; Lactobacillaceae
Description: bacterial SSU rRNA
Rfam family: Bacterial small subunit ribosomal RNA
Source: RNAcentral
CGCCCUUCAGUGCCGCAGCUAACGCAUUAAGCAUUCCGCCUGGGGAGUACGACCGCAAGGUUGAAACUCAAAGGAAUUGACGGGGGCCCGCACAAGCGGUGGAGCAUGUGGUUUAAUUCGAAGCAACGCGAAGAACCUUACCAGGUCUUGACAUCUUUUGAUCACCUGAGAGAUCAGGUUUCCCCUUCGGGGGCAAAAUGACAGGUGGUGCAUGGUUGUCGUCAGCUCGUGUCGUGAGAUGUUGGGUUAAGUCCCGCAACGAGCGCAACCCUUAUGACUAGUUGCCAGCAUUUAGUUGGGCACUCUAGUAAGACUGCCGGUGACAAACCGGAGGAAGGUGGGGAUGACGUCAAAUCAUCAUGCCCCUUAUGACCUGGGCUACACACGUGCUACAAUGGAUGGUACAACGAGUUGCGAGACCGCGAGGUCAAGCUAAUCUCUUAAAGCCAUUCUCAGUUCGGACUGUAGGCUGCAACUCGCCUCCA